RNAcentral lists this ribosomal RNA (300 nucleotides) under uncultured Methanocella sp. Its description in RNAcentral is "bacterial SSU rRNA". The stretch from base 52 to 300 matches the Rfam family "Bacterial small subunit ribosomal RNA", at positions 547 to 795 of the family's 1533-position model. Lineage: Archaea; Methanobacteriati; Methanobacteriota; Methanomicrobia; Methanocellales; Methanocellaceae. The record is from RNAcentral.
GUUAAUAUGGGGCAAGGAGUGGGGGGAAUAGGGAGUGGGGGAGCGUGAAUAGGAAUUAAGUGGAGGAAUGCGUGGGCAGGCGGUUUUGUAAGACAGGUGUGAAAUCCCCGGGCUGAACCUGGGAACGGCAUUUGUGACUGCAAAGCUGGAGUGCGGCAGAGGGGGAUGGAAUUCCGCGUGUAGCAGUGAAAUGCGUAGAUAUGCGGAGGAACACCGAUGGCGAAGGCAAUCCCCUGGGCCUGCACUGACGCUCAUGCACGAAAGCGUGGGGAGCAAACAGGAUUAGAUACCCCAGUAUUC